Molecule: transfer RNA, 69 nt
Filed under: Schistocephalus solidus
Lineage: Eukaryota; Metazoa; Platyhelminthes; Cestoda; Diphyllobothriidea; Diphyllobothriidae
Rfam family: tRNA
About the family: Transfer RNA (tRNA) molecules are approximately 80 nucleotides in length.
Source: Rfam by way of RNAcentral
GAGCCUGUGGCUCAAUGGUAAAGCGUUCGAUUCAAAAACAAAAGGUCGCUGGUUCGAAUCCCAGGUGUG